AUGAGUAAAGUGGCGACCGGGUGAGUAACACGUGACUAACCUACCUUCGAGUGGGGGAUAACAUCGGGAAACCGAUGCUAAUACCGCAUAACAUCGCAAGAUCAAAGCAGCAAUGCGCUUGAAGAGGGGGUCGCGGCUGAUUAGCUAGUUGGUAGGGUAAUGGCCUACCAAGGCUUAGAUCGGUAGCCGGCCUGAGAGGGCGCACGGCCACACUGGAACUGAAACACGGUCCAGACUCCUACGGGAGGCAGCAGUGGGGAAUUUUGCGCAAUGGGGGAAACCCUGACGCAGCAACGCCGCGUGGAGGAUGAAGUCCCUUGGGACGUAAACUCCUUUCGACCGGGAAGAUACUGACGGUACCGGAAGAAGAAGCACCGGCUAACUCUGUGCCAGCAGCCGCGGUAAUACAGAGGGUGCGAGCGUUGUUCGGAAUUAUUGGGCGUAAAGGGCGCGUAGGCGGCGCGGUAUGUCACCUGUGAAAUCUCCUGGCUCAACUGGGAGCUUGCAGGCGAAACUGCCGUGCUGGAGUGUGGGAGAGGUGCGUGGAAUUCCUGGUGUAGCGGUGAAAUGCGUAGAUAUCAGGAGGAACACCUGUGGCGAAAGCGGCGCACUGGACCACAACUGACGCUGAGGCGCGAAAGCUAGGGGAGCAAACAGGAUUAGAUACCCUGGUAGUCCUAGCCCUAAACGAUGGAUGCUUUGGUGUGAUCGGUACCCAAUCCGAUCGUGCCGCAGCUAACGCGAU
RNAcentral lists this ribosomal RNA (745 nucleotides) under uncultured bacterium. RNAcentral describes it as "bacterial SSU rRNA". It matches the Rfam family "Bacterial small subunit ribosomal RNA", at positions 86 to 861 of the family's 1533-position model. The record is from RNAcentral.